This is a small nucleolar RNA of Penicillium brasilianum, 98 nucleotides long. It matches the Rfam family "A. fimigatus snoRNA Afu_298". NCBI's taxonomy places the organism in Eukaryota, Fungi, Ascomycota, Eurotiomycetes, Eurotiales, Aspergillaceae. The record is from Rfam.
GCGGAUGAUGAAAAAUUUUUAACCCCGAGCAUGCGUCUCCCGUGAGACCGCGCUGACGAUUAAAAACGCAACAACAACACUCUAAUUUUUUGCUGACG